This 514-nucleotide long non-coding RNA is filed under the name Lathyrus oleraceus (garden pea). Its description in RNAcentral is "Pisum sativum (pea) long non-coding RNA (PSAT_LNC037202)". Lineage: Eukaryota; Viridiplantae; Streptophyta; Magnoliopsida; Fabales; Fabaceae. The record is from RNAcentral.
GGAAAGAAGAGGGAGAAGAAAUCAAAGCACAAGUCCAGAAAGAGCUCGAAAGAAGCACAAAAUGUGUAGCCUCUUCUCUAGUUUUAUAGAAUUGAACAUGAAGUAUGGGGGGUUGAAGAGCUUGUUUUUUUUUCUUCUAUUGAAAACACCAACAUGAUAGAACAAACCUGGGUCCAUUUUCUUUAGUUAGAAGAAAGGAGGAGAAAAAAAAUUAUAGAAUUGAACAUGAAGUAUGGGGGGUUGAAGAGCUUGUUUUUUUUUCUUCUAUUGAAAACACCAACAUGAUAGAACAAACCUGGGUCCAUUUUCUUUAGUUAGAAGAAAGGAGGAGAAAAAAAAUCGUUCGAGCUAGUUUUAGCUCACCUCCAAAACUGAGAUAAUUUGAAGGAGAGGAAUUAUUUAUUUAAAAUUUGCACUAAAUUUACAUAUUUCCUUUAUUAGAAUCUCUUUCCUAUUGUCAAAUCAAAUGGACCAAACAGACCCAAGUGACAAGUAACAUUUCCUUCGCAGGUCA